Molecule: non-coding RNA, 72 nt
Organism: Dipodomys ordii (Ord's kangaroo rat)
Lineage: Eukaryota; Metazoa; Chordata; Mammalia; Rodentia; Heteromyidae
Source: Rfam
GAGGAUGUGGCUCAGUGGUAGAGUGCUUGCCUAGCAUGCAUGAGGCCCUGGGUUCAAUUCCUUGGUACCACA